This 468-nucleotide ribosomal RNA is filed under the name uncultured bacterium. RNAcentral's name for it is "partial 16S ribosomal RNA". It matches the Rfam family "Bacterial small subunit ribosomal RNA", at positions 28 to 507 of the family's 1533-position model. The record is from RNAcentral.
GACGAACGCUGGCGGCGUGCUUAACACAUGCAAGUCGAACGGAAAGGCCCUGCUUUUGUGGGGUGCUCGAGUGGCGAACGGGUGAGUAACACGUGAGUAACCUGCCCUUGACUUUGGGAUAACUUCAGGAAACUGGGGCUAAUACCGGAUAGGAGCUCCUGCUGCAUGGUGGGGGUGGGAAAGUUUCGGCGGUUGGGGAUGGACUCGCGGCUUAUCAGCUUGUUGGUGGGGUAGUGGCUUACCAAGGCUUUGACGGGUAGCCGGCCUGAGAGGGUGACCGGCCCCAUUGGGACUGAGAUACGGCCCAGACUCCUACGGGAGGCAGCAGUGGGGAAUAUUGCACAAUGGGCGGAAGCCUGAUGCAGCAACGCCGCGUGCGGGAUGACGGCCUUCGGGUUGUAAACCGCUUUCGCCUGUGACGAAGCGUGAGUGACGGUAAUGGGUAAAGAAGCACCGGCUAACUACGUG